CCAAUGCUGCAUUGUCCGUGUAAAAUAGUAUGCGGUGGUUUCGCAUGAGAUGACCCCAUAAGUGGACACUGAGGACAAUUGGAAAAAACUCUAAAACAACAAUGUUGAGCUUUUUCCAUUCCUCAGGCCAAGGCCCAUAAAACCAAAGGUUGCCAAAUAUAGCCCCAAAGCCAUGACCCGCAGCGGCAUCAGUAUACAAAUUCAAAAGGUUGGAAGGGAGCCAAUCAUCGGAAAGAAAAAACGACCGGCCAUUGAAAUCAUCCAGAAAGGAUUUCCAAAGGCCUAAAUCUGCUUUAACUGACC
Molecule: non-coding RNA, 303 nt
Organism: Paramuricea clavata
Lineage: Eukaryota; Metazoa; Cnidaria; Anthozoa; Malacalcyonacea; Plexauridae
Source: the annotation of a GenBank genome assembly